This 497-nucleotide ribosomal RNA is filed under the name uncultured bacterium. Its description in RNAcentral is "partial 16S ribosomal RNA". It matches the Rfam family "Bacterial small subunit ribosomal RNA", at positions 28 to 507 of the family's 1533-position model. The record is from RNAcentral.
GAUGAACGCUGGCGGCGUGCCUAAUACAUGCCAGUCGAGCGAACAGAUGAGGAGCUUGCUCCUCUGACGUUAGCGGCGGACGGGUGAGUAACACGUGGAUAACCUACCUAUAAGACUGGGAUAACUUCGGGAAACCGGAGCUAAUACCGGAUAAUAUAUUGAACCGCAUGGUUCAAUAGUGAAAGACGGUUUUGCUGUCACUUAUAGAUGGAUCCGCGCCGCAUUAGCUAGUUGGUAAGGUAACGGCUUACCAAGGCAACGAUGCGUAGCCGACCUGAGAGGGUGAUCGGCCACACUGGAACUGAGACACGGUCCAGACUCCUACGGGAGGCAGCAGUAGGGAAUCUUCCGCAAUGGGCGAAAGCCUGACGGAGCAACGCCGCGUGAGUGAUGAAGGUCUUCGGAUCGUAAAACUCUGUUAUUAGGGAAGAACAUAUGUGUAAGUAACUGUGCACAUCUUGACGGUACCUAAUCAGAAAGCCACGGCUAACUACGUG